GGACCUGACUGCUAUCGGAUUGAUANUAAGCCAUGCGAGUCAUUGUAGCAAUACGAGGCAUACGGCUCAGUAACGCGUAGUCAACCUAACCUAUGGACGGGAAUAACCUCGGGAAACUGAGAAUAAUGCCCGAUAGAACAUUAUGCCUGGAAUGGUUUAUGUUCCAAAUGAUUUAUCGCCGUAGGAUGGGACUGCGGCCUAUCAGUUUGUUGGUGAGGUAAUGGCCCACCAAGACUAUUACAGGUACGGGCUCUGAGAGGAGUAGCCCGGAGAUGGGUACUGAGACACGGACCCAGGCCCUAUGGGGCGCAGCAGGCGAGAAAACUUUGCAAUGUGCGAAAGCACGACAAGGUUAAUCCGAGUGGUUUCUGCUAAAGAAACCUUUUGUCAGUCCUAGAAACACUGAUGAAUAAGGGGUGGGCAAGUUCUGGUGU
Molecule: ribosomal RNA, 434 nt
Filed under: uncultured archaeon
Lineage: Archaea
Description: bacterial SSU rRNA
Rfam family: Archaeal small subunit ribosomal RNA
Source: RNAcentral